GGAAAACUAAGACUAUAUCUACCAUCUACACUCAAUUUUCUUCUCAAUUUUUUGCAAUAAUGGCCGAGGAUGACCAACUAAUUCUAUUGGAGUGGUAUCCUAGUGUUUUCGCAGCAAGGGUGAGGAUAGCCUUGGCUGAAAAGGGACUAAAGUAUGAGUCCAGACCUGAGGAUUUAAUCAACAAGAGCCCUCUUCUUUUGAAGAUGAACCCAGUUCACAAGCAAAUCCCAGUCUUGAUACAUAAGGGCAGACCCAUUUGCGGGUCAAUGGUAACAGUACAAUACAUUGAUGAGGUCUGGAGCCACAAAUCUCCAUUGUUGCCCUCUGAUCCUCUACAACGAGCACAUGCCAAGUUCUGGGCUGACUAUGUCGACAAGAAGAUUUUCGGUAUAGGAUCGUCGAAGAAGGAGCUGAUUGAGUGCUUUAAAAUAUUGGAGGAAGAGCUUGGAG
This 450-nucleotide unclassified non-coding RNA is filed under the name Hevea brasiliensis (rubber tree). Lineage: Eukaryota; Viridiplantae; Streptophyta; Magnoliopsida; Malpighiales; Euphorbiaceae. The record is from RNAcentral.